RNAcentral lists this ribosomal RNA (253 nucleotides) under uncultured bacterium. Its description in RNAcentral is "partial 16S ribosomal RNA". It matches the Rfam family "Bacterial small subunit ribosomal RNA", at positions 524 to 776 of the family's 1533-position model. The record is from RNAcentral.
UACGUAGGGCGCAAGCGUUGUCCGGAAUUAUUGGGCGUAAAGAGCUCGUAGGCGGUCUGUCGCGUCUGCCGUGAAAACCCGAGGCUUAACCUCGGGCUGGCGGUGGAUACGGGCAGACUAGAGGUAGGUAGGGGAGAAUGGAAUUCCCGGUGUAGCGGUGAAAUGCGCAGAUAUCGGGAGGAACACCGGUGGCGAAGGCGGUUCUCUGGGCCGUAACUGACGCUGAGGAGCGAAAGCGUGGGGAGCGAACAGG